This is a long non-coding RNA of Seriola aureovittata, 684 nucleotides long. RefSeq lists it as uncharacterized. The transcript is spliced from 3 exons. The record is from RefSeq and is a predicted model, not a curated record. Lineage: Eukaryota; Metazoa; Chordata; Actinopteri; Carangiformes; Carangidae.
UCUUGCAUUACUGAGGGGAGCAGAGGUGCAGAAAAGAGAGACCAGAAUGUCUUCUGCAGGAGCAAAUAAAUGCCGGAAACAAUCCAUUGAGUCAUCCUCCUUUAUGCCCCAUCCUCACACCCGUCACAUCUGGACUCACUCAGGACUGUUGUGGAGAGAUGCAUGCAAUGUAUGCAACAUUCUGGCAGGACAGAGAAGCAGCUACAGCUGCAGCAAACGUCUCAUCUCACUGCGCUGCAGAACAGAGAGGUUCAGGAGAUCCUUUGUUCCCACUGCCAUCAGGCUAUACAACACCUCAGCCAAAGGAUGUUGACUUAUCUAAUUAUUAUUGUUUAUUUAUUAUUAACUGUUUUAAUUAUUAUUAAUAUUAUUAUUAGCAACAAUGAGCUAAUGGACACAUGAAUUUCCCCUAGGGGAUAAAUAAAGUAUCUAUCUAGUCUAUUUACUCUUUCAUACUUAGAGGAAAUACAUUUACAAUAUGUUUUCCCCCCAGCAUCACACCCAAUCCAGGCUUGGUCCUCUCUCAGUCUGGAGAAGAAUUCCUGUCUUUAUUAAAAUGUGAGAUUUGUUUGGCAAGCACUGUGUCAUAUGAAGGAUUACCCUGCCAGACAAAAGAGUGUGUUUAAACCUCCCUGGGUCUAUACCAUAGCUCUCCUCUAAACCACCAUGCUCCAGCUCCCAUAC